CCGUCUAUAAACAGCUGUCCUCACUCACUGUCGUGCUGGUCUGUGCUUUAGUACAAGCUUCAGAGGCUGCUGAACCUCGGAUCCACCUGUCCAUCUGCUCUGAGCACUCUUCUGGUCUCCAUCUAAAGUCUGCCGGCACCGAAAUGGACACCCAACCUUGGUUCUUCACAAAAUCCAGUGGGCAACUAGUACAUCCAAACUAAGUCAGAGCCCACCCCCGGAACUGAUGCUGUCAGUAACUGAUUAAGGACAGACUUUCUCAUUUUAAAAUUGCCCUGAGUGGCAUUCAUUAGCUAUUCAGUCCUCCAGUGACUUCUCAGGCAACUGAUCUCAAAUGAAUCAAUGACUGCAAAUCAGCUUUCCCUUUGGCCCUCGCUCACAAAGCCAAGUCGGCCUCCAAAGGUACUUAGAAGAAAGGCCUCUUCUGUCUCUCAGUGGAAAAUCAAUACUGCGCGCUGGAGGGGGAAGAGGGAGAGGUAAAGCGUCCUCUUCACACCACACGGAGCUCCCCAGCAUCUCGGAGGAAAGGGAAGGCCCCUCCUGGAGCACACUCCGGAUAACUGAAAAGCUCAGCGGGGCGGGUGCACACAGCUGACCGGCUGAGGGGACCCAGCGGUGGCCUGGGUUGAAGUCAGGACCAGUCCCUCUCCGGCGGUUUCCACCAGACUCCCUGAGCUCAGCAGGAGCUGAAGACUUUUCUACUGAUCUUUUCGGCUAUUAAUCAGUCAGAGUGUGAGAUAACUUCUGAGAUGCAAUAUGCCCUGAUAUUAAACUAUGCAAAGGUGCUGUUGGGUUGUAA
Non-coding RNA from Peromyscus maniculatus bairdii (prairie deer mouse), 799 nucleotides. Lineage: Eukaryota; Metazoa; Chordata; Mammalia; Rodentia; Cricetidae. The record is from RefSeq and is a predicted model, not a curated record.